Molecule: ribosomal RNA, 354 nt
Filed under: uncultured bacterium
Lineage: Bacteria
Description: bacterial SSU rRNA
Rfam family: Bacterial small subunit ribosomal RNA
Source: RNAcentral
GAUGAACGCUAGCUACAGGCUUAACACAUGCAAGUCGAGGGGCAGCAUGAGCUCAGUUAUUCUGGGUUUGAUGGCGACCGGCGCACGGGUGAGUAACGCGUAUCCAACCUGCCCUUUACGCGGGGAUAGCCUUCUGAAAGGAAGUUUAAUACCCGAUGGCAUCAUGAGUUCACAUGUUCACAUGAUUAAAGGUAUUCCGGUAGACGAUGGGGAUGCGUUCCAUUAGAUAGUAGGCGGGGUAACGGCCCACCUAGUCUUCGAUGGAUAGGGGUUCUGAGAGGAAGGUCCCCCGCAUUGGAACUGAGACACGGUCCAAACUCCUACGGGAGGCAGCAGUGAGGAAUAUUGGUCAAU